Molecule: ribosomal RNA, 568 nt
Filed under: uncultured bacterium
Lineage: Bacteria
Description: bacterial SSU rRNA
Rfam family: Bacterial small subunit ribosomal RNA
Source: RNAcentral
CGGCGCACAUAAGACAUGCAAGUCGAACGAACUUAACCAUUAGUUUACUAUUGGAGCGGUUAGUGGCGGACUGGUGAGUAACACGUAAGCAACCUGCCUAUCAGAGGGGAACAACAGUUAGAAAUGACUGCUAAUACCGCAUAUGCCUUGAGUAUCACAUGGUACAAAAGGGAAAGGAGCAAUCCGCUGAUAGAUGGGCUUGCGUCUGAUUAGAUAGUAGGUGAGGUAACGGCCCACCAAGUCGACGAUCAGUAGCCGGACUGAGAGGUUGAACGGCCACAUUGGGACUGAGAUACGGCCCAGACUCCUACGGGAGGCAGCAGUCGGGAAUAUUGCGCAAUGGAGGAAACUCUGACGCAGUGACGCCGCGUGCAGGAAGAAGGUUUUCGGAUUGUAAACUGCUUUAGACAGGGAAGAAACAAGACAGUACCUGUAGAAUAAGCUCCGGCUAACUACGUGCCAGCAGCCGCGGUAAUACGUAGGGAGCAAGCGUUAUCCGGAUUUAUUGGGUGUAAAGGGUGCGUAGACGGGAAAUUAAGUUAGUUGUGAAAUCCCUCGGCUUAACUGA